CACGGAGUUAGCCGGUGCUUAUUCGUAUAGUACCUUCAGCUACUCUCACGAGAGUAGGUUUAUCCCUAUACAAAAGAAGUUUACAAUCCAUAGGACCUUAAUCCUUCACGCGGGAUGGCUGGAUCAGGCUCUCACCCAUUGUCCAAUAUUCCUCACUGCUGCCUCCCGUAGGAGUCUGGUCCGUGUCUCAGUACCAGUGUGGGGGAUCACCCUCUCAGGCCCCCUAAAGAUCAUGGACUUGGUAGGCCGUUACCCUACCAACUAUCUAAUCUUGCGCGUGCCCAUCUCUAUCCACCGGAGUUUUCAAUAUUAAGUGAUGCCACUCAAUAUAUUAUGGGGUAUUAAUCUUCCUUUCGAAAGGCUAUCCCCCAGAUAAAGGCAGGUUGCACACGUGUUCCGCACCCGUGCGCCGCUCUCAAGUAUCCGAAGAUACUCUACCGCUCGGCUUGCAUGUGUUAGGCCUCCCGCUAGCGUUCAUCCUGAGCCAGGAUCAAACUC
Molecule: ribosomal RNA, 498 nt
Filed under: uncultured Chryseobacterium sp.
Lineage: Bacteria; Pseudomonadati; Bacteroidota; Flavobacteriia; Flavobacteriales; Weeksellaceae
Description: partial 16S ribosomal RNA
Source: RNAcentral